Molecule: long non-coding RNA, 947 nt
Filed under: Triticum aestivum (bread wheat)
Lineage: Eukaryota; Viridiplantae; Streptophyta; Magnoliopsida; Poales; Poaceae
Source: RNAcentral
GGUAACGCUCGCAAACAGAAGAAACAGUCGAAACAGUCCAGGUCACGCUCGCGACAUUAGUUGGGCCGACUGAGAAACAGCCCAACUAGGAGUGGGUGCAGGCGCCACUUCUCGUAAUCGGCGCAGAAGGCGCCGAUUAGGAGCUCCCCCACAAACCACGGCCGCCCACACGGGGUUGCCGGCGGCUCGCCGCAGUUGCGCCAUUCGCCUCCGCCGUUUGUUUCUCCACCACCAGGCCGCGGCAGGCCACGAGAUGUCGAGAGAGGUAUGCUGCUUCCUCCGAGGCUCCACCCGCAACUAGGAUUGUGGUCUUGUUGAUAUAUGCCUGCAAAUCUAUGGCCUCAGUAUAUUAACCAGCAACAUAAUCUAAUACUCCCUUUGUUCCAAAAUAAGUGUCUCAACUUUAGUACAAAAUUGAGACAUUUAUUUUGGGACGGAGGAAGUAUAUUGUAGGCUUAGAAGACUUCACCUAAAUAGUAUUAUGUCUAAUCCCAUCCGUAUAAUGUCUAAUCAUGACAAAGUAACAUAAUAACCAUGAUAUAAUGUCUAAUCCCAUCCGUAUACCCUCAAUGUAUAAUGGUAUGAUGUAUGCAUUGCAUUGGAAACUAAAGGUGAACAUGUAAUCCAUGCAACGGCCCCGCGUGAGAGAAAAAGGACAGGAUGCUAGCCAAGAACAACUUGCCGGAAAAUAUCGGCAUUGAUUCAAAGGAGGGAUGCAUACCCUCACCAUGAAGCAUACAUGCACAUACCCGGCAAGUCAUCCUUGGCUACAUUCUGCCCUCUAUCUCGAUUCACGUACGGCCAUUGAUGGUAUAACUCGUAACUGUUAUUGGGUGGCAUGAAUCACCGAAACUGAACUUCUCUAGGAUGCACACAGCUAGAGGUAUGAUGUGUGUAUAUAUGCAGUCCUGCUGGCUGCUGCUUGCUAUAUAAGAUGUGUAUGUGUG